This 2096-nucleotide long non-coding RNA is filed under the name Homo sapiens (human). RNAcentral's name for it is "long non-coding RNA NONHSAT171037.1". The record is from RNAcentral. Lineage: Eukaryota; Metazoa; Chordata; Mammalia; Primates; Hominidae.
GCGGGAUAAAGUGUUUUAUGGAGUUAGAGCAGGGGAACUUAAAAACAAAAGUGUAUUUAAUAACUUCAUGAGACUGUGAUAACCAGUUUAUAUUUGAAAUAUAUACAGCACUUUGGGAGACUGAGGGUUGACCCUGAUAGUCCUUUGCACAGUGAUCUUCAGAUCUUAAAAGAAAAAGAAGGCAUAGAAUAUAUUUUGCUUAACUUCUCUUUUAAGGAUAACUUUCCAUUUGAUCCUCCAUUUGUUCGAGUGGUGUUACCUGUUCUCUCAGGAGGGUAUGUAUUGGGUGGAGGAGCAUUAUGUAUGGAACUUCUCACAAAACAGGGCUGGAGCAGUGCCUACUCAAUAGAAUCGGUCAUCAUGCAAAUAAAUGCCACCUUAGUCAAAGGCAAAGCCAGAGUGCAGUUUGGAGCAAAUAAGAAUCAAUAUAAUCUAGCAAGAGCCCAACAAUCCUAUAAUUCCAUUGUACAGAUACAUGAGAAAAAUGGCUGGUACACCCCUCCAAAGGAAGAUGGCUAAAUGUGUUGACUGUUGUAUGUUUGGACUAAUGUUGCUUUAAAGAAAAUCUUUCUAACAUGCAGACAAAAGCUUUGAGUGCCCCUAUUACAGCAGUACCGAAGAUGUUAGUUAAUAGAUAUUUUAGUGGAUAAUCUGUCAUCUGACAUCCAGUAUAAGUUACAGCCUUUGCAUUUUGCUCAUUUUAGAUAUCUUGGACUGAGCAGUGGGGCCUUUACUGUAUUUUUCCUGAUAAAUACACAUACUGGCCACUCCUUAUCUCUUUUUCUUGAAAAGUGAACUUUUUAAAGCAGCCAAGUCAACAUCAGGCUACUGAAGUUGAGGCUUUAGGGUAACUUUCCUAUAUUGAGCCCAUGGGUUACAAGGAUUUGCAAUAUAUUGUUCCAUUUACAGCCAAUACAGGUUUAAUCGAUGUUCAAUAUUGGUUUAGGAAAUUUAAGGCCUUCUAAAUCAUAAUAGCUCUUUCAUGUCUAAAACCAUUUUAUGAUAUUGCCAAAAUGUGAUAGGAAACCUACUCAUUAAAUUGUUAAACUUUUUAAUGACUAUGUGAAGAUAUGAAUUGUUUCCUGAAGAUAAUACUCUUAAUUGAGUUGUAUUGUACUUCUUAGGCAAAGCAGUGUAAAACUGUAUCAAUUAAGGCUUGUGAGUAGUGAUUUCCACUGGGGCAUCAGAGUCUUGGCUGGGCUGAAUCUGCUGCUUGUUGGUUCAGUGUUUCUUAUGAACAAGAGCCACAGUACAGAGCUUCAAGUUAUUUAAAAUACUAAGUCAUCUUACGUUUCCAUUUUAUUAACGGGAUGUUGCAAUCGUUUGUAAACUAAUAAACUUAUAAAGUGAUUGGCACAAAGACUCCUUGAGCAAAAGCUGUGCAGUUAAGUACAAAAAGAUACUUAAUUUGGAGACUCUUACAGUAAUUUUUGCCAUGUCAAAACAAUGGCUUUUACAUUGAAAGAUUAAUAGAAACUCUACAUAUGUUAAUUUUUUUAUAGAACCUGACUCAAAUCAAGGUACUCUCCAUUUUAUUGCCUUACCUGAAUCAGUCCUUUUUGGUUGGUAAUAGAUUUUUUUAUACACCCACGUUUGAUUUAAAAGUAAAUUCUAGUUCUUAAGCACUUUUAACAAAUCCAGAAGCACAUUUUUCUGCACAAACAAGUUACAAAGUUCAAAAGUGUUUCUUGUGCAUUAGCUUUGAGAUUCAGUUUUUAACUUUGUAAACCACAUCUGAGAGACUUGUCAUUUCUACAUUGUGUGUGUUUAAUUUCUUUUGAUUCCAUUUUGGUUAAGAGAGCAGUAAAUAGAUUUUCUGGUAUUCUUGUUCACUUGAUUACAUUUGUAUAAAGUUCUGAUUGCCAGUUGCUCAGAUAACAAGUGACAAGGCAGAAUUCUUUAAAUCAGUAAAGUUCCUUAAGCCUAAGGCUAAAUCUUGAAUACAUUGUUGAAUUCUUUAAUAUCCUGAUGGCAAGCAGACUGAUAGCUGCACAUUUGGCAUGCUUUGUUUAAUGGAUUUUAUUUUUAAUUGCAGAUUUAUUUGGCAAUGUACAGUAAAUUUUGUAAACUUGCAUCAAGUUUAUGAAUAAAGAACC